UUUUUUUUUUUUUUUUUUAUAAGGCUAACUCGAUUCCUGUUCUUAAAAUAAGCGAACAGACGUUACAUAUUAGAUUCUACUGCCAUGCAUGCACAUGUUGGACUCAUCCACUUAUUUGGUCCAUGACCAAUCCAUUUUCAGGUUAUAACUUCUAGCCAAUAAGUGGUCAAACGAAUACUUUCGGCAAUCGCCGGCUUUUUAAGGUUGUUUGGGAAUUAAGUUUAUCUGCAAAAAGCCUGAGUUUCUCAGAAUUGAAAAAGAAAACUUUCGGCAAUCAUACAACACGGGGAAAUAAAUGAAUUGCCAUUUCGAUUGCAUAACCACUAGAAAGGGGCUAAUUAAAGCCACAAAUUACCCUCUCCAAAGAAACUUGGCAAGCAUGAGAAUUUUGGAAAGAUGUGGGGCAAAUAUUGUGAAUUCAUGGUGUGGCUGGGCAAGUACGGCAGAUUCCCGCAAGCGGAAAGCGACAAUAAGAUCCAUCCGGCAGCAGAACAAUAAUAAAACUGCAAAAAGAAACCCUGACCAUAAAAGCACUAAUCAAAAGAAGCACAUCCACCUAGGAGAGUCCGCGUCACCAGAGCCACUCCACCCUCCAUUAAGCAACCAAUUCAAUUACUACUUCGCAUGAAUACUUUCUAAAUUCAUUAAUAAAUCCAAAACCUCUCUCCUAAGUCCAAACUGUAAAACCAGCUUAGUCCAAUAAUAAUAAUAAUAAUAAUCCAACUCCACUUAGAUGAGUUGAUCACUGGGUGAACCAUAAUACAUAGGCUUAAUUGGAUAUUAAAAAUCCAAACCUGUGCACUUGUUUUAAAGUUUAAAAGAUAUGUAGUGGUGCAUUUUUUUAAAUUUAAUUUAGAGGUGGAUCCUCUUCUUUUAACUUUUCUCAGCCGAGUUGAUUUGACACCGAAAAAAAAAUUAUAAUCUAUUUAUUUUACGGGUAGCAAUGAUUAUAACACUAGUUGCUUCAAGAAAUGUUUUCAGCUUUAUGAUGCUUCCAAUAAAACACAAACCUAACGGUCUAUCUGGAUGCGUUAGCAGUUUUUGGUUAUUUAUUUCUCUCUACUCACAUUUCUCUGUUUAAUAACGUCUUGUGGGCAGAAGAAUACUUAAAUAUCUAUAAGGAUCGAAAUGUUCAGUUAUUGAUGUGAUUUGGGUUGAGGAAAUGGGGGAGAUUGGAGAAAUCUAGGGCUUUGAGAGGGCCCUUUUCAUUCUGGAAGAAAAAGGGCCCUUUGCAAAGUUUCGGGAGUUUAGAUAGAGAGAAGAAAUGAAGGAGUUGAUAGGGAGUCCGGGGACUGUUUGUGGGUUGUUAUUAAGGAUAGGGCAAUGUGUAUUUGGAGCUGCAUCCAUUGAGUUAUGGUCUCUGCUUAUGGGUUUUCCAACUACACUGCGUUCUGGUAUGGAUUCUUCCUUCGCAUUGAGUUUUCAGAAUGUGGUAUUUUCAUGCUUACUGGCUUUAGUUGAUAGGAUCGGGCCACUUGUUUUCUACUUCCUCCUUAUCGAAACAAAUUGUGCGCUUUGGAUUUUGUACUUGCCUUGAUCUUUGCUUUCCUCUGGUAUCAGAUCUUCUUGGGCAAAGGGAUUUUAUAGUUCAGCCUUUUCUCUAUAAAAUGUUGACACGAGUUUAUUUGGUGCCCAAUUUUCAUGCACCAUUGUUUCUGGGUGUUUUGGUAUCAAGUUUGCUGCUAUUUUCAGAUGAAGUAAAGUAUUUGUUCUAAUUUCUGUUGGAAUUGAAAAUGCGCUACGACAGCUCACUAAAUCACUUCUGGACAUUUUGGAGCUGACCAUAUUCGCUGCACCAUUUUGAAGAUUGGAUGUGCGGACUUUUUUUUUUUUUCUAGUUUAUAAACUUACCUUAUUUAUCCCUUUACCUUAACAGACAAGAUGUGCAAUUGGAUGAGUUAAAUUGAGACAUCAGUUGAUAAUCAAAAGUUAAACAUCUAACCUAGAAAGAAAAGUUACUAUUUGGAGGACGUCAUCAAUUUGAAGAGGCAUAGAAUGUCGAGCAAUGAAAAUUGUAUUGGUGCAGCAUCUGUGAUAACUGAUUCUUUAUAACACAACAAAGAAAUCCUCCUGUAAGUGGGGUGCUUUUCGAUCGAAUAUAUCCAAGUGCUAAUAAUGUAAUUCGGUGGUUGUUUAUCCUAUACUUAGAAGAGAAAGUAGUCUAGUCUAAGGACUCUUGAUUUUUUCUUAUCUGCGCAUGCCUGUUAUUGUUGCCUUCCACACCCACAUAUAUUUGCGGAUAUAGGUUUCCUUGAUUUGGCUUUUGAAAAAGAUACUACGACUGUUAUUCACUUUGGUAAAUUAUGACUUCUGAUUUCAGCUAUUUGAUUGCAUCGAUGGGCUUCAAGUUUGUGGAGCCUUGGACUAGCAUGUCUUGAUGUCUAUGCUUUGAGGAUAAAGAGAGACCUUCGAAAUCCUGUUUUAGUAAGCCUGUUCGUUGUUGGCGAUUGGGUACCUUACAAAUCCCUCAAUCUGUCUCUUUUACAUGAAUAAUUUGCUUAUCUGGCACUGGUGAGUUAGCCUGUUACCAUGGCUGGGCUUUGAUUGUGAGAGAGAGAACAAUAAUUGCAGUAAACUCCAGUUUUAUUCAACUUUCUUGUUUAGCACUCUUCUAACUCCCAUUUCGCCCUUUGCAUGCAUAAUUUUUGGGAUCAUGUUUAUUACGGCAACACCCAGUACAUGGAUAUGACUCUCAAUACGAAGUAAAAUUGCUGAUCUUAACCAUCCUGCGGCAAGAGGCGUAUUUAGCAUGAUGUUCUUUAUAUGUGAGAUUUAGGUCUCAUAACAUUUUCAAGCUAUAGUUUUGAAUAUUGUUUCUCAUCAUUGUGUUUUCUGUCCUUUUGUGCCUAGCUUUGUUCAGUAACUUCCAAGUCAGAGAACUUUUUUCAACACAAUAUUCAGUUUUGUCAGCACUAGAGCUCUUAUACAACUUCCUUUUCUGUCAUAUCUCACUAGACUUGAAGUCUAUUAAUUACAUCUUUCUGUUUAUCCUUAGUAACUGUAAGCGUUCCAUGUUGAUCUAUGGCUGCGUGCUUAAUUUUGCUGAAAUUGAUACGGAAGACAGUUUUACGCUUACAUGUUUUGCCAGUGCUAAGUUUUGAAAGGCUACUAUUCCAUGUAUCAAAAAGACAUGCGUUUGUCUUUGCUCCCAUAUUGAAAUCAACUUCACGCAAAUAAAGUGUUCUUAUCCUAUUUGGUCUUUUAUAUCUUUCUUUGUUUCUUUCAUUAUAUUCUUGUUGGUUUCUUUCUUAUAUAUUUUCUGAUUGGGGGAUAAGUGAUGCAAUGCAGGUGACAGCUACUCUAUCACUUGCAGCAGCAUGCUCAUCAGCUGGGAUAGCAGUUUUGUAUGCCAAAGACUUGAAAUACUGUAAGGGCCCAAUGCAACCUUCCUGUAGCAAAUUUGAACUCUCCAUUGUUCUGUCUUUCAUCACUUGGUGUCUGAUCGCUGUAUCUUCUCAUGUAAUGUUCUGGAUACUAGCCUCAGUUUAGGUGCUUGAAGCUCUUUUCACUUUGUCUACUUGGCUCAUCUUAAAAAUCAUCUUUCACUUCUAUAUUGUGACUGCAUUUUCUGUGAGAGGAAAAACUAUCCUUCAUUUGAUCCAUAUUGGUUGGUAGCUUUCUUCAUUUUUGUUACAAUAACUGGGCUCUUUUGGCCUACACCGGGUAAUAUUUGUUUUCCAGCAGGGGAAGAGCUUGUCCUGAAAUUUUGAUGUUUCUUCUCCCCAGUUUUUCCAGGAGGGGCACUGUAAAAAUAUUCUUCCCUCCUGGAGGUUGAGAAGAUCAAUAGGUGCCAUUUUUCUUUGCUUUAUUAACGUGCAAUUACAGACGCGGACAUAACUGGAGCGAAAGGUCGUAACUUUGUGAUGAAAUGAUUAAUGACGAAUGAACAGAUUAGACAAAACUUCUUGACCAAUUUGUGUCUGGUAGGUAUACAAGGCAGACGUUUUAAAUUUCACACGCACAUUUUUCCCUGAUCAUAAACACACAAAGCCAGCAGUUACCUGGCCGUUUACUCACAAAUGAGGAAAUAAAAAUCCAGGGAAAGGGGCAAAAUCGAAAAAGAAAUGCAGAGAAAGCUACAAAACACAAAGCACAAGGAAGGACCAAAGCAAUCCUAGGAAUGAAUUCUGGCUAGGGCUUGGACAGGUAAAUUGCUCUGCUUUUGAAUCAUUAGCGUCGAGAAUACCUAUGACAUACUCAAUUUCCUCGGCAACUUCUCUCAUUGAAGGUCGGUUUUGCCUGCGCUCAUCUAAGCAUGCCGCUACUAAAUUAGCAACUGCUUGCAUGGUCUCCAGCUCCACUUUGCUAGCCCAUUCUUUAAGGGUUGGAUCAAUGGUGUCCAUCAGUUUAUCUUCACCCAAAAUCUUUUUCACGUAAACCACCAGGUUCACCAGUUUAUCAGUCAGUUGGAGAUUGAUGCAAUAUUCAGGAUCGAGAUAGCCUAGAGUGCCUUGAGCAGAGGUAUUGAUGUGGGUAUACUCGCUUUCGUUUGACUCCACCAGUCUAGAAAGCCCAAAAUCAGUCACCUUGGCAUCUAGCCUUUCAUCCAGCAAAAUAUUGCCGGAUUGCACGUCUCGGUGAUAUAUCGGGGGAAUAGCGGAAGAAUGUAGGUAUGCAAGACCAUCGGCGGUCUGGUAGGCGAUAAUGAGGCGGCGCAGCCAGUUGUGGAGACGAAAUCCGUGAAGGCGGUCGAAGAGCGUCCCGUUCGGGACGUAUUCAUAUACCAGCAGAGGUUGCUCAAGCUCAACACAGCAUCCGAGUAACCUAACCAGACUUCGAUGGUUCACCUGGCAAAGAAUUCGAACCUCGUUCAGCAACUGAACGAUGCCCUUCAUGUUUCCGGGCUUGGCACGCUUGACUGCAGCUAUUGUUCCGUCGUCGAGGGUGCCUCUGAAAACUUCACCGAAGCCUCCAUAACCAAGUAGAUUGUCCUUGGAAAAGUUGUUUGUUGCUCUCUUUAUCUCCUUGCCUGUGAAGAUUUUUGCCGACCUCCCAUUACUUUUGGCAUUUAAGAUUUCUUCGCGUUCCUUCACUAAAAUUUUUUUAGCUCGUCUCUUUAAAAGUUGACGUCUUUCAUAUGCUACGAUUCCACAUAAGAUGAGUUGCAGGAUUGCACCAAGAGCGGCUGAAACAACAAUAAACACACGAGAGAUGGUUUAUUGCUUGAAAAUUUGCUGCAGUAUAUACUUGAAACAGCACUAGCAAAGUACCUCCAAUUGUUGGCAUUUUCUUCUUCCGAACUUCACAAUUUUUUUCGUGCCUGCACCCUGCACAGAAAGAGUCGUACGUGACGGUGUUAGUAGCAGAGCGACACUGGGAACAACUGAAAUUUGUUGCCUCUGGUAUUUGGAAAUAAAGCUUUUCAUUGACUUCUUUAUCUUUCCGGGAUCCAUUAACCAUUUCCAAAAGAUUCUUAAUAUGCAUUACAGAAUUUAAAUACAUAAUUUAGCAUAAACCAUUUAGGUACAUAUUGAUAAGAAUUUAACGCUCCUCUUACUUCUAGAGAUUUGCUCUGGAGGAGGACUACCGUCUAACUCCUUUCUUUUUUUUUUUUGGGUGAGGAGGCUGGGAAGGGGAGGGGGGGCGACAUAUUAGAGUGGCCGCAGGGCAUGGUUAAAAAAUAAUAUAUAUAUAUAUAUAUUCUGAAAGAUUGCUAAAUGAAUUGGCAAAAUUAGAAAAGAAAAACUGUGCUACUAACUUUCACAAUAUCCGGAAGAAGAGUCCCAAUACCGGCCGGUCGUGCAAACACUCCUCUUCUGACUGACAUUUGCCCGGUCAGGCGCCAAACACCUGGAAUAAGGCAACUGGACACAAUCAACAUCAGAUUUGCAAGGUGGUUCUUUUGGGGUCACCCACAUUAGCUCCAUCCCAGGCGCUGGCCAGUCGGCAACAGGCAAAGAAGGGUCCAAAUUUACAAAGCUCUGGUACGCCAAGCAUCCACCUUCAUGAACUCUAACGAAGUGUGCAGUUUGUGAUCCCCUGUGUGUGAAUGAGCAACAUAAUCUCGUAUCAGGGAGAUUUCAAGGAGCCAUUGCUCGAACGGUACUAACGUAGUUGUUGUGACAAAUGCUGGAAUCAGAACAAUUUAGCUGGACUUGCAAGUGCAACAUAUUGUCGGUGCAGUUCAGCAACAAAACAGUAUUGCUGCUUGUAAUGUUGAAAGGAAGUGCGUCGCCAAGGUGAAUUCCUUCACUAUUGAGAUCAGUCGAUAAACAUGUACUUGGGAUAAAUGAUGGUGGCCGGAUAAUCAUUCUCUGAUUUUGUGGAUCGAUGGAUGUGACCAUGUAUGCUGACCCAUUAAGACCGUCUACCCACAAUUUGCCACCGAUGCACCUGACUGCGUAGGCUUGGUCGCCGCAGUUUGGUCCGGUGCUUAGAGGGUAGGGCACUGGAGUCUGCCCACAAUUGCCGCAAUGUAGAGCACCAUUGCCAACCUAACGCAAGAUGAUAGUAAUAGUAACAAUAUUACUAUCCUGGCAAAUAACAAUGGGCUACCAGAACGUUUCCCAUUGGAUGAGAGAACAUGGGAAAACAGAGCAGCUACUGCAUGCAUGUGAAUUGGGUGAUGACAUUCGUACCAUACUAGGCCGUUUAAUGCUCUUGAGAAAGUUUUACUCGUUCAUAUAUGCAUGCAUAAACCUGGUACAGAUGGGCAAUAAUCCUCGUAUCAAACAGACAAUAGAGCCGGUACAGUAUACAUUUGAUUGUGCAUUCCAACGUUCUCGAACCGUGAUGGCGAGCGAAUGCAAAUACUACUAAACAGUCUGUCCAUCUAGAGAUUGCAUGUUCGAUUUUGUCCACUUCCUUGAUAGAAACCUUGCCUAGGUUUUGAAGAUACUACUGGUGUACUACGGUUUCUGGGGACGAUUUAUGUGCUCAGGAAAACGUCUAGUACGAUUACGGGUUGUCUGGACAAAAUCCGGUCCCCGCUUGAGAUAUGCCAUUUGAUGGCAAAGACAUGAUGCAUGGCCUUUUGCUCUUUUUACGGAAUGAAAAUAUAUUAAAUCGUGCAAGAACAGAGCGACGUCUUGGAUGUUGGAAGCGAAAAAGUAACAUAAAACAAAAAUGAAAAUUUUUAAUAAGGCUCCCAAUUUGUAGAUUACUUUCUUCUUUUUUUUUUCUUUCGGGAUGUUGUUUGUUGAGGAGGGGGGGUGGCGGGAAGGGAAUGGCAUUUCAGCCGCAGGAAUUGUUUUCUAGUCUGGGAAUGAUUUUGCCUAGCGGACAACGCCUAAAUUGCGGCAGGGAUGGUUUGUAGUUGGGAGUUACGGGAAGCGGAGCCACCCAACUUUCCAAUGGUCUGGUUUCUAAAGCUCUGGUCUCCGGUGAAAGGGUUUCCUGUGCGCCAUCCCGAAACGUUGUACACCUGUCUAAUUCCCGAUGGAAGCCGUAGCACUUCAACAGUGCUCAUCUUUCGAUGCGUUGGAAAUGGGGAAAAAAUGGGCAGGAACUAAAACUAAAAGGCGUCUCCCCAAUAUAAUCUCUCAUGAAAUCGGAAUUGUCAAUGGAUCUGUUUGAUUACGAGUUUUAAAACCCAAGAAAAACAAAUUUUUUUAAUAAGUACUGUACCCUAGAAAAAAAGAAAAGAAAAGAUACAGACAAACCUCCAUCCCAAAUAUAAUUACAACGAGUGUGAAUACACGUGCUACGUACGGUAUUGAUAUUAUUAAAAAAAUAAAAAUAAAAGGGUGAAUUAAAAAAAUUAAAAAAUUGUAUCAAUGCAAUUAAAAUAUAGUGUCUGUCUAACAAUAAUUUGAAAUAUGAUAAAAUGUGUAUAUUAUUCAAAAAUUAUAUUUUUUCAUAUGAUAGAUCCUGAAAAAAUAAUAAAAAUUUAUAUUAAAAAAUGAAUGAUAUAUGAAUAAAAAUAAAUGUAAUUAAAUGUUGUUAAAAUGAAAUACUUACAAAUAUUAUGCAUUUGAUUUGAUAAUCUUGCAUGAAGGUGCGAACACUCUUCACAGCAAUCAACUUUUAGUACGAAAAUCAAAAUUGAUGAUUUAAUUAAUUCUGUUAAAUUUGUGGAAUGUAUAGUACAAAUGAAAAUGCACGAUCUUCGCAUGAAUUGAUUCGUUGGUUGAACAACCUAUCACCGUUGUUCUGAAAAUCAAAUACGUACGAAAUUCAAAAUUAGUGUAUUUUUUUACAUAAUUUAUGAAUAGCAUUAUAAAAAAUAAAUAUAUAUCAAGAAAUUCUACUUUCCUUUGUAAUUUUUUGAGAUAAAAAGCAUCACAACCAAAUAUGAAUCGUUCAUGUCUGCCCUGUAGAUUAAGAUGCAUGUUAUCACUGGAAUUUUUAAUUUGUAUGUUAACAUUAUACCUGUUUGACAAAUAAAAUAUUAUAUAUAAUAAAAAAAUUUGUUGAAAUUAAAGGUACAUGAAAUUAAUUACCUAACAACAGUGUCGACCACGUCGUUACAAUGCAUACACACUGUUUUUGAAAAAUAGUCUUCAUAUAGUUGUCCACAAUUUUUGCAUAGCUCAUAUAAUAUGUUUUCUAUGUUAAUGUUCUAAAUGUAAGUAAGUAUUCAAAAUAUUUAAUCUAGUAAGAAUGAAAGAAGAUAUAUGUUAUGAUUAUAAAUUUAAAAAAUUUGUGCAGUAAUUAAAUUAAAUAGAGUAAGCUUACUGUAUACAUGAUUGUAUAUUCGAAUAUUCAUAUUCUCUUUGAAUUUCUAUCAACAAUGCUUGUGAUGUUGUAAAAUUGCUUGACCUCAACCACGUAACUAACUUUCGAGAUGUAUUUUCAAAAUCCACAAUUUUUUGAAAUAAUGUUGAUAAGAGUAUGAAAUAACAUUAAAAAUUUGAUGUAGUGUUACUGAUGGAACUCACCAACUGCGCAGAUUUCGAGCAAAAUCUAAAUUAUGAUUGAUAUACAAUUUGCUAGAUCCAAUUGUACAAAAUGAUGGUCCUCUGUAGUAUGGUUAUAUUCGCUAAAACCUAUUCAAAUUAUAUAGAGUAUAAGAAAAAAAACAUUUGAUUUACCUCUGAAAUUUCGUACGCAAAUACCACAUGCUAGCAAAAUAUUUUUAUAACAGAUUGAUAUUAUAGGAUUUGUAGUAUAUUUAAUAACUUUAUACUCAAAUCACUGAUGAGGCAAAGUUUGCUUAAAUAAACUUUACAGUGUCCUAAUUUCUUGCAAAAAAAAAAUGCUAAAUAGUCCUAAUUGUCAUCACAAGUUACGGCAACGUGCCAGUGGCAUCUAGGCCUAAUUUUUUUUUUGGUCAAAAUCUAAUCCUAAUUGGUUCUGCUGUUUCUUGAUCAUAUUGUAUACUUCUGAAUUAAAAUUGUAUUAAAAUAGUAUAUGAAUAAGCAUUUUAUUUAAUUAAGGAGUAAAAAAGAUUUAAAAUAUAAAUAAUACUAUAAACCGUUUAUAAAGUAGAUUAUAGGAAAGUUUUAAAUUUUAAAUUUGACUGGUGAUAGGGUUGGUUAUAACCCACUACUAUUUAUGUAUUAAAAUAAAUACAAAAAAUCUAGACAAAAAUCUAUGACCUACUACUUGUUCUGUUAUUGGGAUUUUUUUUAGAAUUAAAUAUAGUAAAUCCCUUAAUUUUACAUUGCACUUUACCUCCUCAACUUUACAUUUAGUUGCAUAUUUGUGACUUUUUUUGAAACGUGAUUGUAAUUUGCAAAGCUCAUUUGUAGGGGUAGUUAUAGAGUUAGUGUGGUGACAAAUAUUUGUUAAUUAUAAAAAUGUAAUAUUAUUAAAAUAAAUAGUAUACGAAUUAGCAUUUGUCUUUGAUUAAGAAGUAAAAAGAAUUUAAAGUAUAAAUAAUAAAUUAGAAACGGUUUAUGAAGUAGAUAGUGGGAAUAUUUUAAAUUUUAAAUUUGAUUAGUGAUAGGGUUGGUUAUAACCCACUACUUUUUAUGUAUUAAAAUAAAUACAAAAAUUUAGAAAAAAAAAUGAGAAGUUUCGAAACCAUUGAGAGAAUCUCUGCUAAAAACUCUUUCUGCAAUACAUAUAGAUAUAGAUGCUAAACUUUUUGUGUUAGGAUUAAGGAUAAAUGACGUAAAAAAUGUAAAUACUCGCUGAUUAAGUGAUUCUUCUCUAAAUAUUUUCUUAUUUUACUUGAGCAGUGGUCUUUCCUCAGUGUGUGUGUGUGUUGUUUUUGUUUUUUCUCUUUGUUCCUUGGCUUUGUGAUAGGUGACAGUUGACACCUUUUUCUUUGGACUGCAACUCUGCAAGUGGAUGGAACUUACAUGAGACCCACAGGCCUACAUGGAAUUCUGUAACAGGCCUUAGUGUAUUAAAUAGACUGACUUAACUAAGGAGUCCUAUUCUUGGGGUCCUUAAGAAGCUAAACUCACAGCUUAAUAGAAUUCAAAACACAAUUGCUUCAGCCUAUCCCAAGAAUAAACCCAUAAAGCUGCAGCUAUUUAUUUUGGAUCCAUAUAGAGCCACCAUCUUUGCGUUUUUGGGCCGAAAAAUGGCUCUUACAAUCUUCCUUCUUUUUUUUUUUUUGAUAAAAUGGCUCUUACAAUUUUAGGAUAUUUUUGAUAAAAUUAAAAUUUAAAAUAUGAAAUUUGAAUCUAUUAAAUUAUUGAAUUGUUAUAUAAUAAAUUGGAUACAUUUCAGUGUAUAUCACAUUUAGUGAUAAGUGAACAGUUUAUCACUUAAUUUUUGAAGUAAGUUUUGUCUAGAAAAUUCAGUGCCACUUAAUUAAUUCAGAUGCUAUAUUUUUUGUUAUCAAACACGUCUAAAUAUAUUAAGAUCUGAAUUUAUUAAGUUUAAGUGGCGCAUUGAAUUAUCAGACGGGACUUUAAUAUUGUUCACCCUAUGAUUUUUGUGACAACUAUAACCUCAACUUUAUAAUAUUUUUCGAUAGUGUUGCAAAUGAAACUACACAUGACAUGGUAAAAAAAAUAGAGAAUGAAAUAUAUAUUGAUAUAGAAUGUUAAAUGAAGGACGGAAAGACAUUUUGUGCGUUGAUUUUGUCAGUUGCGGCGACCCUUACCCUUAUUUCAGAAGCAAAUCCCACGGAACACUAAAUUUCUGAUGUUUUUGUAUAUCAACAAUAUAUAUGAAGAAAUUCGGAUGCAGGGACAUUUUUGUGCCUUUCAUUGGCAAAAAUGGAACAGAAGUGGAAAUGAUGCGGGAGAAAGCUUUUCUGAAAGAACCAGUUCAUCAUUUUUAAUGUGGUUGGACCUUGAAAGUGCCGCUAGAAAACUUCUCAAACUCCGGUUGGAUUGUGGUAUAACUGUCUUUCCCAGACUAAACGUUUCGUGGGCAACCAACAGCUUGGCCCUUUAGCCGAAGGAUACUAUAGCAAGUACAAAUUUCAUUUAUAUUACACAGAAGCAUAACCAGUCUGUACACUUCCAGAUUUCACCCAUUAACGCUACAACACGAAUGUGUGGUCCCUUGGGGUUAUCCACACAAUACGCCCAAGAACCAGAGAAUCAUGAAAAAAGAGAAAGGAAACAAAUAGCAAAGAUCUUUCACACGCAAUUAAUCUAGUUAUGUGGAUCACCUCAACCCACCAUGCCCGACUACUUUUACAUGCCCUGGAUUUUCCUGUGCAAAUAAUAUAGUGAGCGCCAUAUUUUUGUUUAUAGAUAUUCACUUGACGGCACGGCGGGGAGUCAGAUGACAGCCAGGUGAUUGAACAGCGGCGGAGAGCAUUCUUUUGGUGGCAGAGGAAGAAGGCGAUGACGCGGAGGCGGGGAAGGCACAGUCUGGUCUGAAAAGCUGAAUAUCAGGCAUUUGGAAGCGGCCCGAAUCACCUGGCAAUCUCAUGUAGGAAGCAGAAGGCGAUUCAUUCGUCAUGAUCCCAUCAUCCCUUGUUGGCCAUUCUUGUACUGCAUUAUAGCUCUGUAUACUAGUGGAAUUAAGCCUCCAUAUCGUAAUUAAUGUCGUCUAAGUUGAGAGGCGGGUAGGUAGGGUGUGGAGAGAUUUCAGAUUUCUUGGUGUUAUGUUGAUUUGCAAAUUACAAUGGGAAAGGAUUAAGGGAAUGGAAUGGUUGAUUGAAAUUUAAAUGAGAGACUUGGGUGUGAUGACGUGGCGUAAUGGGUCGGAGCCUUAGCUGUUUAGUUUUAGUCUAAGCCAAGCUGACAGAUGGCAAUUUUCAUGAGUGGGAUAAGGAUCGUCACGAAUUGAAUCAUCCAGGCUUACAAGGCAAACCUGCACGAAAACCACACUUGAAAGCUCCAUUCAAACUACAUUCCAUUACAUCUCACCAAAUCCCAAAACAAAUAUUAUUAUCUAGUAAUACGCUGCCGUAUUAUCUUCGGAUUUUUAAUCAUUUUCA
Molecule: long non-coding RNA, 12235 nt
Filed under: Coffea arabica (coffee)
Lineage: Eukaryota; Viridiplantae; Streptophyta; Magnoliopsida; Gentianales; Rubiaceae
Description: long non-coding RNA (CARA_LNC003945)
Source: RNAcentral